RNAcentral lists this ribosomal RNA (239 nucleotides) under uncultured Lactobacillus sp. RNAcentral describes it as "partial 16S ribosomal RNA". It matches the Rfam family "Bacterial small subunit ribosomal RNA", at positions 125 to 355 of the family's 1533-position model. Lineage: Bacteria; Bacillati; Bacillota; Bacilli; Lactobacillales; Lactobacillaceae. The record is from RNAcentral.
CCGUAGCCCAAGAGAUCGGGAUAACACCUGGAAACAGAUGCUAAUACCGGAUAACAACAGAUGAUGCCUAUCAACUGUUUAAAAGAUGGUUCUGCUAUCACUCUUGGAUGGACCUGCGGUGCAUUAGCUAGUUGGUAGGGUAACGGCCUACCAAGGCGAUGAUGCAUAGCCGAGUUGAGAGACUGAUCGGCCACAUUUGGACUGAGACACGGCCCAAACUCCUACGGGAGGCAGCAGCU